This 95-nucleotide microRNA precursor is filed under the name Microcebus murinus (gray mouse lemur). RNAcentral's name for it is "miRNA (ENSMICG00000018702.3)". It matches the Rfam family "mir-670 microRNA precursor family". Lineage: Eukaryota; Metazoa; Chordata; Mammalia; Primates; Cheirogaleidae. The record is from RNAcentral.
UUUAGGGGUGGAUCUGACGUCCCUGAGUGUAUGUGGUGAACCUGAAUUUGCCUUGGGUUUCCUCAUAUUCAUUCAGGAGUGUCAGUUGCCCCUUC